Molecule: long non-coding RNA, 403 nt
Filed under: Ananas comosus (pineapple)
Lineage: Eukaryota; Viridiplantae; Streptophyta; Magnoliopsida; Poales; Bromeliaceae
Description: long non-coding RNA (ACOM_LNC008635)
Source: RNAcentral
UAUUUUUUUUGGUUCUUGUACAUACUAAUGUUAGAUCCUCGCUGGAGCGAGUGAUAUCUAUAUUCUGGAGACUAUGUAUAUAUAGUGAAAUUGAUGUUUAUUUAUAUUUACAGUUCUGUUAGCAGCUCUAUACUACUAGUUGUAGUUUUGUAUGAUUACAGGUAUAGGUACAGCUAUCGCUUCGUAUACAGGAGAAAUUCUUUUGUAUACAGUGGAUUUGUCGGCGUGCCCGGGAAAACGAGAAAUCCGGGGCGUGACAUUAUACCUAUCCCUGGAAUAGCCAUUUUUUAUUUAUCCCCGAACCAAACGAUACCUUAUAGUCUAAAAUAUCACCAAUACCUUCGUCAAUAUCAGAAUUAUUUUUAAAUAUCCUUAUAAAAAUUUGUGCAAAUAUGAUUUAUUA